CAGCCGCCACGGUAAUACGGAGGGUGCAAGCGUUAAUCGGAAUUACUGGGCGUAAAGCGCACGCAGGCGGUCUGACAAGUCAGAUGUGAAAUCCCCGGGCUUAACCUGGGAACUGCAUUUGAAACUGUCAGGCUGGAGUCUUGUAGAGGGGGGUAGAAUUCCAGGUGUAGCGGUGAAAUGCGUAGAGAUCUGGAGGAAUACCGGUGGCGAAGGCGGCCCCCUGGACAAAGACUGACGCUCAGGUGCGAAAGCGUGGGGAGCAAACAGGAUUAGAUACCCCGGUAGUCCCUGUCUCUUAUAA
This 301-nucleotide ribosomal RNA is filed under the name uncultured bacterium. RNAcentral describes it as "partial 16S ribosomal RNA". It matches the Rfam family "Bacterial small subunit ribosomal RNA", at positions 509 to 809 of the family's 1533-position model. The record is from RNAcentral.